Molecule: ribosomal RNA, 856 nt
Filed under: uncultured Methanosaeta sp.
Lineage: Archaea; Methanobacteriati; Methanobacteriota; Methanomicrobia; Methanotrichales; Methanotrichaceae
Description: bacterial SSU rRNA
Rfam family: Archaeal small subunit ribosomal RNA
Source: RNAcentral
CCGGUUGAUCCUGCCGGAGGUUACUGCUAUCGAGGUUCAACUAAGCCAUGCGAGUCGAAUGUAGCAAUACAUGGCGAACUGCUCAGUAACACGUGGACAACCUGCCCUUAGGUUGGGUAUAAACCCGGGAAACUGGGUAUAAUACCCGAUAGGUCUCGAUUGCUGGAAUGCAUCGAGAUUUAAAGCUCCGGCGCCUAAGGAUGGGUCUGCGGCCUAUCAGGUAGUAGUGGAUGUAGCGUACCUACUAGCCUACGACGGGUACGGGUUGUGAGAGCAAGAGCCCGGAGAUGGAUUCUGAGACACGAAUCCAGGCCCUACGGGGUGCAGCAGGCGCGAAAACUUUACAAUGCUGGCAACAGCGAUAAGGGAACCUCGAGUGCCAGGUUACAAAUCUGGCUGUCGAGAUGCCUAAAAAGCAUUUCAUAGCAAGGGCCGGGCAAGACCGGUGCCAGCCGCCGCGGUAACACCGGCGGCUCGAGUGGUAACCGUUAUUAUUGGGUCUAAAGGGUCUGUAGCCGGCCGGAUAAGUCUCUUGAGAAAUCUGGCAGCUUAACUGUCAGGCUUUCAGGAGAUACUGUCUGGCUCGAGGCCGGGAGAGGUGAGAGGUACUUCAGGGGUAGGGGUGAAAUCCUGUAAUCCUUGAAGGACCACCAGUGGCGAAGGCGUCUCACCAGAACGGACCUGACGGCAAGGGACGAAAGCUAGGGGCACGAACCGGAUUAGAUACCCGGGUAGUCCUAGCCGUAAACGAUACUCGCUAGGUGUCGGCCACGGUGCGACCGUUGUCGGUGCCGUAGGGAAGCCGUGAAGCGAGCCACCUGGGAAGUACGGCCGCAAGGCUGAAACUUAAAGGAAU